CAGUCGCCACGGGAAUACGAAGGGGGCUAGCGUUGUUCGGAUUUACUGGGCGUAGAGCGCACGUAGGCGGACUUUUAAGUCAGGGGUGAAAUCCCGGGGCUCAACCCCGGAACUGCCUUUGAUACUGGGAGUCUUGAGUUCGAGAGAGGCGAGUGGAAUUGCGAGUGUAGAGGUGAAAUUCGUAGAUAUUCGCAGGAACGCCAGUGGCGAAGGCGGCUCACUGGCUCGAUACUGACGCUGAGGUGCGAAAGCGUGGGGAGCAAACAGGAUUAGAUACCCGCGUAGUCCCUGUCUCUUAUAC
RNAcentral lists this ribosomal RNA (301 nucleotides) under uncultured bacterium. Its description in RNAcentral is "partial 16S ribosomal RNA". It matches the Rfam family "Bacterial small subunit ribosomal RNA", at positions 509 to 807 of the family's 1533-position model. The record is from RNAcentral.